Oryctolagus cuniculus (rabbit) is the source of this 750-nucleotide non-coding RNA. Lineage: Eukaryota; Metazoa; Chordata; Mammalia; Lagomorpha; Leporidae. The record is from RefSeq and is a predicted model, not a curated record.
ACUGGGAGGCAGAAGCCCCACAUCUCAGUCCUCGCUCUGCUACUGCACCGUUGCCACCUCCGUGUCAUCUCAGACAAGUCACCUCCUCUCUCUGGGCUUCAUUUUUCCCAACUCAUAAAAUGAAGGUUAAUCCUCCAGCAUUUCCAGGACUCUGCCCAACGCGUGGUCCGGCCGAGCUGGCAAACCAACAACGACAAAAGUCACCCGGUGCCCAGCACUCCUCGCGCCCAGCAUCAAGCAAGGUGCUUCCUGUCGGCUCCUAGACAGACUCUCCAAGAAGGGGCGCCCGGGUGAACCCCAGCAAGUGGCCCUCAGUCUGCGCCAUGGUGACCGGUAAUUCCAGACCCAGCACAGUCCAUGCCAGGACGGGCUCCGUCGGGCGCUUAAAACCAGCGGUGAAGAUGCUCAAGUUCAGGUCAUUCCGGACUCCUGAUGCCGCCAGUCCCUCGAUGAGACGUGAGCGCCAUUGGCGUCCGUGGCCUCUGUUUCCGUGGCAACCCAGUAACCAUUAAUUUUCAAUUAAAGGAGACAAAAAGCUCGAUGACAGCUCCAGGUCUGCUGAAGAUGUCAAGAAUCUGUAUUAAUAUACAGCAAGAGAGCAUAAUUGUGUGUCCAUCUUCCAGAGUAGCGAAAAAUGGAGGGAUAAUUACCAGCUCGAAAGCCACUCUGUAAUUUAGUUCUUACUGUCACCACAGCCCUACACAUUAGCAUAAAUUAAAAGCAGAGUUUAUUGUUAUCAAAGUGCAUUGA